UGUUUAAAUUAGACUCCUGAUAUACAUGGGUGUACAUAUACAUGUACAGGUCUAUGGCUAUGCACAGUGGUAAACCAGUAAAAAUGAAUGGAAUCCUUGUACAUAUUACAAUUUUGAACAGAUUAAAACAAGUCUGUCAUUAAUUAGUACUUAAAGAUUUGUGUAAUGUACAAUAAAAGCAUCCUUAGUGAUGGUGCCCAUAUAGACUACUGAACUAUUUCUUAAACAACACAUGGAUAAAUAAUAACAUAUUAUGUAAUGCACAUGCAAAUAUGCAUUCAAGAUGUACUUCUAAAAUAAUUUUAAAAAAUGAUUGUUUUUAGUGUCCAAGCUCAGAUAUAUGUAUUAACAUUGUUCUGUCCAGUACAAACCGCUAAUUUCCUAUUUUCUUCUCCAAUUACAGGAUCAAUGUGAGCGAUUAUGUGGCCAUAUAUUUUGAUGCACCUUCAUCUAGCAGCAGGACUACAAAUGGGGUGGUUUUCAUGGCUCUUGUAAAAGCUGUGAUUGAUGAUAAUGUCAAAGUCAAAUUCAUGCGCCGGAACAGCAAUGGUCUGUAUGAAUUUACAGAGGACUGUGAAGCCCAUCAGCCUAAAAAGAUGUAAUACAGAAGAUGACUCUACUAACCAUGACCCCAGCCGACAUAGCUUACCUAGCUUAUAAUUUUUAAGAAUGAGAACUGGACAUGUUGGCAGAUAAAUUUCUUUGAAAUAAGAAGUUGAACACAAUUGUGUUCUAGGACAAAAACCUGUAAAUGCUUACCAUGCUAUUGGUUUCAAAUAUAUGAAUGUCUGGGUAAAUGUUAUAACACAAACCAAACAAGUUCGUGGAAGCCACUGUGCAGAAAUGUAAUUCUUUGCACUAAGAAUAAAUGAUGACAAAGACGCAAGUGAAGGGUAAUGAUACAUUGCUAUGAAUUAACAUAAAUGGUUUCUAUGUGAACAAUUAUUUUAAGUACUUUACUUUCAGUUCAACAUUUUAUCAAAACUUCAAAAGUAAGUUUAAAUUUUGCCUUGUAUAUUGCCUUUGUAGUUGACAAUAUAGUGUGUUAACAUGUGUGAAGUCUCCGAAACACUACUUUGAACUAAUCCUAUACAUGUAUAUGUUCCCUGAAUGUUUCAACUUUGAUAUGAGAAAAGUGGUUUCCCUUGAAAUUACAUACUGGACAAUAUAUUUCAGCCCAGAUCAGCACAGAUUUGAAAUCCUCAUGGAUUCUAUUAAGUGACUUUGCAAUGUUUGCGUACUGAACAAAAAGCUCAUUGUAUUAAGUAAAGAUAAUUUGUAACAUACAUGUACCGUACUGUAUAUUAACAAGUAUUUUUACUCUGUAAACAAAUGUUUUAGGUGUUAUAUUAGUAAUUUAACAUAUCAUUAACAGUUUAAGUUGAAUUUUUCUUAAUAUGUUACCUAAGUAAUGGACAAAAUUUUAUGUUAACAUAAUUGAAGCCUCCAAAACAGGCAAGAUUGUUAACCUGAAGCCUCCGAAACACACACAUAUGAAAUUUUCAACUUCCUCAUUUGAAAUGCGAUUUCUUUGGAAUUUGCAUUGUAGUUAGCCCUCACUGAAUGGUAUUUGUAGAAUAAUUUUUAUUUUGCUCCCCCUCUUGGAAGAUAGGUAAAUUUGACAAAUUAAAUGUCAAAUUCAUAUUUUGUCUUGAAUUUGACAAACGCAUUGAAUUUUUUUAAAGACCAAAUAAGUUUGACCAAAAAGCUUUAUAAGCCUUCAAGUACAUUAGAAUAGCAAAUGAAAAAUCGCAAUUGAAUUAUGUUUGGAGAACAAAUGUUGUCAUUUAAGUUGAUAGAAUUAAAAUGUUGUUUUUGUUCAAAUUUAUCAUAUUUGUCACAGUUUUUCAUUAUUUGUCCAGGUUUCUCAUGUAGUUUAAGCUCCAGAACCAAAAAAAAUCCAUAAUUUAGUAAAAAUGAUUAUGAAAACAUAUUUUGAAAUUUUGACCCUGUUUGAGAAAAGUUACACCCUUUACCGUGAAAAUGACCAUAUAUAACAUGUAGUCCAAGUGGUACCAUAAUAGUAAUGACCCAUCAGUUCUGAUGCCAAGAAGAUUUAAAACCAGAGCAAACUAGAAAUAUCACUGAAGGUGAUUAAUACCCCUAAUCCAGUAUAUCCAACUCAUGUGAUCAUAAAGAAUGUAACUUGGGUUAAAAAUUAUUUGUGUAUAUGUGUUGUGUGUGUGUGUGUGU
This is a long non-coding RNA of Strongylocentrotus purpuratus (purple sea urchin), 2193 nucleotides long. RefSeq lists it as uncharacterized. The record is from RefSeq and is a predicted model, not a curated record. NCBI's taxonomy places the organism in Eukaryota, Metazoa, Echinodermata, Echinoidea, Camarodonta, Strongylocentrotidae. The transcript is spliced from 2 exons.